Molecule: non-coding RNA, 119 nt
Organism: Larimichthys crocea (large yellow croaker)
Lineage: Eukaryota; Metazoa; Chordata; Actinopteri; Sciaenidae
Source: Rfam
GCUUACGGCCAUACCACCCUGAAUGCUCCCGAUCUCGACUGAUUUCUGAACCUAAGCAGCGUCAGGCCUGGUUAGUACUUGGAUGGGAGACCGCCUGGGAAUACCAGGUGCUGUAAGCU